AUUGAACGCUGGCGGCAUGCUUUACACAUGCAAGUCGAACGGCCGCGCGGGCUUCUGCCUGGCCGCGAGUGACGAACGGGUGAGUAAUGCAUCGGAACGUGCCCAGUAGUUGGGGCUAGCCCGGCGAAAGCCGGAUUAAUACCGCAUACGACAUGAGGGUGAAAGCGGGGGACCGAAAGGCCUCGCGCUAUUUGCGCUGCCGAUGUCGGAUUAGCUAGUUGGUGGGGUAAAGGCUUACCAAGGCGACGAUCCGUAGCUGGUCUGAGAGGACGACCAGCCACACUGGGACUGAGACACGGCCCAGACUCCUACGGGAGGCAGCAGUGGGGAAUUUUGGACAAUGGGGGCAAGCCUGAUCCAGCCAUGCCGCGUGCGUGAAGAAGGCCUUCGGGUUGUAAACCGCUUUUGUUCGGGAAGAAAUCCUCUGGGCUAAUACCCCGGGGGGAUGACGGUACCGGAAGAGUAAGCACCGGCUAACUACGUG
Molecule: ribosomal RNA, 484 nt
Filed under: uncultured bacterium
Lineage: Bacteria
Description: partial 16S ribosomal RNA
Rfam family: Bacterial small subunit ribosomal RNA
Source: RNAcentral